Molecule: ribosomal RNA, 543 nt
Filed under: uncultured bacterium
Lineage: Bacteria
Description: bacterial SSU rRNA
Rfam family: Bacterial small subunit ribosomal RNA
Source: RNAcentral
GGAAUCUUGCGCAAUGGGCGAAAGCCUGACGCAGCAACGCUGCGUGCGGGAAGAAGGCUUUCGGGCUGUAAACCGCUUUCAGCAGGAACGAAAGUGACGGUACCUGCAGAAGAAGGAGCGGCCAACUAUGUGCCAGCAGCCGCGGUGAUACAUAGGCUUCAAGCGUUGUCCGGAUUUAUUGGGCGUAAAGAGUUCGUAGGCGGUCGAGUAAGUCGGGUGUGAAAAUUCUGGGCUCAACCCAGAAACGCCACCCGAUACUGCUUAACUUGAGUUCGAUAGGGGAGUGGGGAAUUCCUAGUGUAGCGGUGAAAUGCGCAGAUACUAGGAGGAACACCGGUGGCGAAGGCGCCACUCUGGAUCGAUACUGACGCUGAGGAACGAAAGCAUGGGUAGCAAACAGGAUUAGAUACCCUGGUAGUCCAUGCCGUAAACGGUGGGCACUAGGUGUGGGAUUCUAUUAACGAAUUCCGCGCCGUCGCUAACGCAUUAAGUGCCCCGCCUGGGGAGUACGGUCGCAAGACUAAAACUCAAAUGAAUUGACGG